RNAcentral lists this long non-coding RNA (11476 nucleotides) under Mus musculus (house mouse). RNAcentral's name for it is "maternally expressed 3, transcript variant 2 (Meg3)". The stretch from base 6506 to 6588 matches the Rfam family "mir-770 microRNA precursor family". Lineage: Eukaryota; Metazoa; Chordata; Mammalia; Rodentia; Muridae. The record is from RNAcentral.
AGCACAGAAGACGAAGAGCUGGAAUAGAGCUCGCCUCGGCUCUGCUGGCCUUGGCUGCAGCUCUUCCAGAAACCCGGGGCGCCCACAGAAGAAUCUCUUACCUGGCUCUCUCUUCAGGGAUGACAUCAUCGGCUCACACCAGUCUUCCAGGACCACCUUCUGGAUGCCAAGGCUGCUGCUCGAGUACCUGCUGUGCACCUCUACCUCCUGAGCCAAGGAGCACGGAUUCCAGGAACCCACUACCAUACAGAGCAACUCCUUGUGGACCCCCCUGGGAUCAGGACAGCGAGGGACAAGCGACAAAGAGGAUCAUCAGUGGCCAGCUAGUUUCUCUGGGGUUCAAACCUUGAACCAGUGCCCUAGUGAGGGGGCACUGGCCAUGGCCCUUGACCUUUGCUCUGCUUGUGUCUUGAGUCUGAGCCCUUUCCUGUACAUCUGUGCUCGUGUUCAUCUGCUAGUGAACUGGAGUGCUGCCCUCCCCGAGGAGGGUCGUCCCUUGUGACUGAUCAUGCUGUCCUAACAAUGUCCUGAGCAAAAGGGUCCCUUUGGGAACCUCUCAGGAGGGGGACCCGGGUCAGGGGCGACCAGCAUCUUGCUGGCAACUCCGUGGGUGGGGUGGGGUGGGGUGCUUCCUUCUGGAAUGAGCACGUGGCUGACCCCCCAAGGCAUGUCCCCUCCCCCUCCUCCACCCACCUUCUCGGAGAUGUCCCUUUUGGGGUAGUGGGGACAUUAGGAGCAACCUCCUAGGGUUGUUGUGAGAAUUAAAUGAACUGCAGCAGCCUGAGGCAGGGCUGGGCAGAGACCUCAGCACAUGUUUGUUGAAAGGUUUGCAGGUGGAUCUAGUCCUCCCGUUCAUGGCUCAUGUGUCUCAACCAUUCUCUCGCAGACUCCUGCAGCCCCUAUGCCCAGGGCUCUCCUUGCGCCAGAGGUAGGUGGGAAAGAGAACUGGGAGAGCCCGGACUCACUCAUGAGAUUGAACUUAAAUUCACACGGAGGACACUUGGACUCUUGCCACAUUAGCCCCGGCUUCUCGAGGCCUGUCUACACUCGCUGCUUUCCUUCCUCACCUCCAAUUUCCCCUCCAACCCACUGCUUCCUGACUCGCUCUUCUCCAUCGAACGGCUCUCGCUCAGGCCUGUCGCGUCUUCCUGUGCCAUUUGCUGUUGUGCUCAGGUUCCACGAGCUGCCCAUCUCCACAGAAGAGCAGCUGGCAUUGCCCACCGGCCAUGCCGGCUGAAGAAAAGAAGACUGAGGACCCCAGGAUGCCCAGCGCGAGGACCCCAGGAAGCCCAGCGCGAGGACUCCACCCACGACGCCCAGCGCGAGGACUUCACGCACAACACGUUGCAACCCUCCUGGAUUAGGCCAAAGCCAUCAUCUGGAAUCCUGCGUGGGACCCUGGACACACGGACACAGACACCUGCCCCCAGGACCCUCCAACUGUAAAUCGAUUGGAAGCGCCCUUGUGAGCUGGGGCCUUCAAAGGGCUGAGGAGAAAAUGCAGGCCGAGAGACCAGCUUCUCAAAUAGGCUUCAAGCCUCCAUGACCUGAGCUCACCCCCUGGAAAUGUCUGGAAAACAUAAUGGGCAGGUUUUCUGUCUUCAAAGUUUCCAUCAAAACCUCUUCAAGUUCUUUAUUGUUUAGGACUGAGACACUUGGGGACAGUAAUGGGGACUUUCUUUUGUAUCUGUCUUGAAAGGCCAAAAUAUUUUUAUAUUGCUGUAGACAAAGCCACCUAUUUACAAAUGGACUCUUGUUCCGUCGUUUCCCACCAGGAAGACCGUACUAUGUUUGUGUCUCUAUGUAUUCUGGGGUCUUGAAACAGGUUUCUCAUGGGGAUGGCCAUUCACUAGAGCCCAGAGGGGCAGAAGGGGAAGUGUCUACCCUGCCAAGGGGGUCUGGGGAAGGAGGGGGGCUAGUCUCAGAUUUGCUCCUUGUAUGUCUAGGGUAAACCCUGGGAGAAUCUGGUGGUAAAAGAACAUAUGCUGUGUUUGCCCCACAUCUGCCAUUUGUGUGUGUUUCUGGGCUACGGGUUUGCACACUUUGGUGGUUAACAUGGUGGGAGGAAGUAAGAAGGGCCAAGAGGGCACGGGUGCUCUGGUUUUCCUGCUGGGAGGCUGUUUCACUGGUGUGUGUUACAUCACAUAAUGCAUGUUUAGCUGGGUGAGUGACAACAGUAUGAAGGGACAGAGAAACAAAUAGGUGUAGAAAGAGAGUCACAGAGCACACAGUCACCAUUCUGUGCCCAGGCGUUCAUUAAAUGUUCAAUAGAAUGCUGAGCUCUGAUAGACAGAGCGGGCCAUGGACACACUGGUAUUGGGUCAUCAUGGACCUAAGGAGUUUUUUUAAUUGAAGAAGGAAUCUUACAUAACAGAAGAAAGAAUAAGAAGAGCUGUCAAAACGAGCUCUGAGGUUUUUGAAGCCCCUUAAUAUAAACAGACAGACAAUGGCGUGAUCAGGAAAGGGAGAAAACAAACAAACAAACAAACAAGAUGCUUACAGAAAUACGAGAGGACGUGUGAGCAUGCAAAGAGAACCCAGCUAGGUUAGUAUCGGGGUGCUGGUGGAUCGUUAAUCCUGUCUGGGUACCCCAGCUCCAAGGGGAUGAGAGGCAGCAAGUGAGAGGACACAUAGGAAACUGUAACAAGACAGAGGCGAGCAGAUGGGGAGCUUCAGCGGAGUGUUAAGCUAGGCUUCGCAAUCUGACCACUUAACUCUCCCAGCAAAGAAAAGAAAGGCUUAAAUACUAAAAAGAAGGAAAGCUGGAAGAAAGGAUGGUAGAUGUGAAAGGCAUAGAGGAUAGAAAGCAAUAGGGAGUGGAGUGCAGGUGCUGUGGAGAGACGCUUGCAGGUGACUCAAUUCACCAGCCUGUGCAGCUGAGAAAGACAGCCAGUGACAAAGGAGAAGAAGAAAGGUAACAAUACACUCACAAAUAGGUAGAUGAAUGUAGCUGGAAGACGGGGCCUGGCUAGGGACGGGAUGAGAGGCUGUGUCAGCAGACUGGUUAAUUCCCAUCUGUGCUUCUGAGAUGGACAAUGACCCACCCGACCAAGAGACCUUUCAGGCAUCAAUAUGUCAGGGAGGGCUUCAAUGGGGCAAUGGAGGCGAGGCCCAUUAAUAGCAGAUUAUGAUGUAUCCAAUUAGGUGCACCUGCCCUCUGGAAGUGCAGAAACCAGUAUUGAAAUGGAAAGAAAGACUGAAUGGAAGUCCGAGAGUACAAAUGAAUGGAUGGGAAAAAAGAUUUGCAUUCGCUCUUAGGGGGAGGGUGCUGCUGAGCCCCAGGGUCAUCUGAUCUCCCGGAGAAUAAAAGGGCGAGGGAGUGAUAGAGAGUAACAAUAAGAUGGAGAAGAAAUGAAAAGGAGUACAGAGAGAAUAAGUGGGGACAAUGAAGUCUAGGAGCGCGGCUUGUUUAACACAAGUCAUCCAUAUUAAUUCAAAAUUGAGGCCCUGGGAUGGGAUGGGCUGUGUCCAAGGGAUGAAGCUGUUGCCUAGCAUGUGCCAAGUUCUGGGUUCCAUCUCCGCCUGGCAAGACAAACACAGGAAACAAAAUUAUAGCCCAGAGGUUGUAAAUGUUGUUUUUGAUGGUUUUGGGACAAAGAGCUAGAUCGGUUGGAAGAUAGAGAAAUAGGAAGAGGUGGGAAAGAGUUAGAUGAGCACAAGAGGAAGCAGCAGUUCUUAAGAUAAGUGUUUAAAUAUGGUGAAUGCGUAGCUCUUGGGUGUGUCAAGAUGAAAAUAACGAAAAGAAACAAGUUUAGGGAUGACGGCACAGGGAUGAGCGGAAGCGGUGACUUUAGUUAAUCACCGUGGCCAACUCAAGCCCUGUCAGGGAUUUAAAAAAAGGUACAAAGGCGAUAAAGGAAGACACAUGCAAUACGGAAGAGAGAGACAGGACAGACAGACACAGCGAAAAGGCUGAGGACAUGCCUGAGAGGGUCGCGAAGGGAUGAGAGAGAGAACAGCGAGAAUUCUGCUUAAUUCAAAACCGGGCUCCUGAGAUAGCUAAAUAUCUCCUGAGCCCAAACACCAGCACAGGAGAUUAAAUAACAAAAGAGCUGCAGGCAGACCCAAGUGGAGAAGGCUUGGGACCCUCAGAUCAGGCUUCAACUAAAUCUGUGCACCUGAGGUCCAUAAAUAAAAGAAUAAAUAUUGAAAUAAAGGAGUGACAGAAAGGAUGAAUGAGCACACAUGACUGAAUUAGAAAUGGAAAUGGCUAGAGCAGCCAGUAAGGAGUGGCCCAUGGGACUUCUGCUCAUCUUAUUCUGGGCACCUGAGGUCCCUUCGUGAGAAGAUGCAGGGAGAAGAGGGGAAGGGAAAGGCAUGAGAGCAAAUGAAAGAGAGGCGAGGAGAGGAAAUGAGAAAGUGGCAGAGAGGGGAAGCGAUCGGUGGGUGCCUCGGAAGAGGAAUGUCCACGAGGAUUAAUAACGAGGCUCUCAUUAAUCCUAAAGAUCGAUGAGGUAAUCCAGACCCAGGUUCUUAAGGGGAAGGAGAAUGGAGAGAAUUAAAAAAAAAAGACGCAAAAAAAGGAGAGAAAGAUAAUAAAACAAGCAACAUGAUGAAUGGGUAAUUAAGAGAGGCUGUCUGGACAGAAAUAGUAAUGAGUUCCCAUGCAUAGUCCUUAAAUAGAUAAAUACAUUAUACCUUUCAAAGAAUGCGUGAAAAAUCGAAGAACACCAUGGCCCCCAAACAAGGCUGCACCUUCCAUUGCUGUAAUAAAAUACAUGCAGCGGAGAGCCAUAAAUAACGGAAAAUACUUAAAUGUAAAAGGUGACCAGACAGAGGGAGAAGAUUGCAAGCCCAGAUACACGAGGGAGGGAGGCGAUGUUUGCUUUGCAUGUGUAAUACAAUUAUGUUCACAGGAAAUUAAUAGAUUUAAAAAAAAAAUCCAAACUAAGACUGGGAGAAAAAACAAGGAAGAGAGGGAAGCGAGAUCUGAGAGAUGGGGCUGAGACUCCCGGGGUAGGCUCAGCAUGGUUUUGACUAUUCUGCACAUCCGGACUUAGAAAAGUGAGUUUGUCAGGGCAGGAAGAGAAAGGUGAAAUCUGGAGCGGGCAGAGCUGGGCAGAUGGAUAGAAAAGGAAUGGAAACUACACAGGUUGUGUGUGUGUGUGGGGGGGGGAAGUGGGGGCUCUAAGAUCUGAGGUUAGGCUUGUUUAAAGCUGAGCCAUUGUUGUCCCCAGAGGAAUCAAAUCUUACUGCUUUUGUGAAGGAAGAGAGGAUGGCAACGAUAUUGCAGGAAAAGAGGGAAGGGGGUAGGCAAGGAGGCAGGGAGGAACUUUCAUGUGCUAUUCGCUGACUGGGAUUGGUAAUAGAUAGCUCUUGGCCCACCACAAGCUGCUUCCACACAGCCUAACUGACUGGGAGCAGCUAUGGAUCACCAUGGCCAUGUUUUGCUUGCAGGGGGCCAUUUCACUGUCUGUCACAUCUUCAGUCCAUAGACACAUCCCUGCACAGUGCCCUUUCCAUAGACGUGGAUAGGAGGGAAGGGCUCAGGCCUGGGGCUGUGGAGAUGAUUGCAUGAAUAGGGGGCGCUAUGCCCAGUGGGUACCUUGUCUCCUCUCUGGGAAAGGAUCUCUUCUGAUCCUGAUGGGAAGGGGCUUAGCCAGCCAAAGGGCAGGGAUAGGAGGCUUUGUCUGCUGCCUGCUGGCUACCAUCUUGAGUGUGACUUACACCAGGGUGCAGACAAAGUGAGCUUGACCUGGAAGCCUAGAGGCCCAAGAGGCCCGGGUGAAGCAAGUAUCUCUGAGAUCAAGCCUACCCUUCAGCUCAGAGAGUGGACCCCUGCCUAGGCUCCCACACAUGAUCCUAGGUCCCAGAUAUGCCACCCCUGGAGCCCGUUUCAAGGCCCAUCUUCCAGAAUGUUUAAACCUGUGUAUGUAACCAGUAAAAUGGGAGUUUGUACUGUGUAUUGAAUCUGUCUUCUUAUUGGCCUCUGUGGGCUGCUGGGGGAGACCUGGAGAGUUGUUUAUUCUAGUGUCCCCCACCCCCUGGGACUCUUUGCUUUUGCCCAGUUUUCUUUCUCUGUUGUGGAUAAGAUUUUGUAGAGUUGUGUGUUGUAUGCUUGUGUUUGACCAUUAAAAAAAAAAAAAAAGUCACAGCCCUCCUUGAUUUCUCAAUUCCUAUUGGGGGUGCUAAAUUCCAAACCAAACCAAUCCAAACCAGAUUCAUGUCAAGUGCCCAACAGGAGGAUAAUAGCUUGGCUGGAUCAAGGGAGCAUGUGCAGACCCAAGAACAGAGUGGACAGAUGGGCUAUACCGCAAGGGGGCUUUGAGAGCUGAGUGCAGGCUAAGUAGAGAGAAGGUAUGGAAGGUUGGGGAGGGUGGGGCUGCUGCUACCUGAGUUGCUGAGGGUCUGAGACACCAGCAAGGAGGAGGGGCCCCUGGAAGAAGCGUUUUGAGAUGACUGAAGAUGGAAGAUGGGCGCUCCCUACGCUUCUAGCUUCAAGGUUUUUAGUGUACGCCAGCCGCCUCCGAUCGUGGAAGACACAGCCUAACCUUGUCAGAAGCCACCUUCUGUGCCCCCAGCACCACGUGUCUGGGCCACGUGAGCAACGCCACGUGGGCCUGACGUGGAGCUGGGGCCGCAGGGGUCUGAUGGCCUCCUGUUUCAGAAUCUGGGGCGUUUAUCAUCCUUGGGACAACUGCUGACCUGGCUCCGGAAGAUUGUCCACACAAGUCUGAGUGACGGAGUGAGAUGAGGGGGCGGGUGGAGAUGCUCAGAAGAAAACAGCCUUUGCAUGGGGUUCAUUUCCAGCUGUUUAGAGAGUCAGCCAAGGUGACAAGGUGGGGUUGGAUGCGGAGAAGAAUGCUGGGACUACAUGUGGGCUACAGCUGUGAAGUCAGUGACAUGGGGCAGCAUGGGGAUGGGUCUCUAGGUGGGCCUUGUCUCAACAUUCAUGCCAGAAGAUUGGAAGGGGUACCAUGGGUUACUGUGGGUCAGUGGGACCUUGGAAGGAACAAGGGCUUGGGUAGGUGACUUUGCCAUGUCACCUUGGGAUCUAGUUGUUUUGAGUCUUUGACUCUUAAUCUGAUCUUGAAUAACAAAUGUCUCUAGUUCUGGGGUUCUGAGAGUCUGUGGUAGGAUUCCCUAGGAUUCGUGUGGGGAGGGCGGUCUGCAUGUGCUCCCAAGUUGGUGUCCCAGCCCUUCUGCCUGCUCAGGGCUGUCUUAGACAUAUUUGCUUUUCCUUUCAACAUCAUAAAAGAAGGCAAAUUUUGUCUUUUGAUUGACACUCAUAUGCAAACCACAACAUCCUUUCUCUGAUAAUACUGGGACCUACAGCUCUCCUCGGCUCCCCCCGCUAUUUGAGCCCACCUUUGGGGCAGGUAGGCCAAAGGCCCUGGUGUUUUCUGAGGUGAAGUUGUUAAUGUAAAGAUGUGUAACUCAGAGCAGGGGGAAGAAACACACCCUCAACUCUGCUUCCCCGUGCUCCAUCUUCCUUUCUGCCUUCCAAAUUCUUAUGAACACCGUUUUUUUUUUUAAAUUUUUUUCCAUUUAAUGAGCAUCCUUUUUUUUUUUUUUAAAGCUCCAUUGGUGGUGCUUACUUUUCUGUUGGUGUUUUGUGUCUGUUGCAAUGAGCAUCUUGCUGUCCACGUUUUCGUUGCUCCAUGGUCUCUCUCACCUGCUUGAGUUCCAUUGAAUGGCUAUGACAUAAUGAUCUACCCAUCUUACUGUUGCUGAUGCAUGAUCAUCUCCUGUCCUGUUUUUUUUUUUUAUUUUACAUUACCGAUGACACCAUAACUAAUGGCUUUGCACAACCAGCUUUCCCAGCAUCCCUAGCGCCCCCUACAUCUAGCUCUUCCCAUGGUUCCUUUCUUUUCUCCUUGCUUCCUUCUGCUAGACUGUGAGCCCACUCAGGGCAAGGAGCUUGUGGAACUGCGCUCUGUAUUUCUUGUAGGAUGUCUAUGAAUGUUGACUGCGUGUGUGUGUGUGUGUGUGUAUGUGUGUGUGUGUGUGUGUGUGUGUGUGCGUGUGUGCGUGUGUGCACGUGUGCGUGUGUGCGUGUGUGCAUGUGUGCGUGUGCGUGUGUGUGUGUGUAAGGGUGGACAGGUAUGAGUGAUGGAGUGAUUGAAAGAUUGGCAGACAGAUGAGAGGCUAGAUGAAUGGAUGAGUGAAUGAAUGAAUGAAUGAGUGAGUGAAUUAAUGGAUGGGUAUAUUCUCUGGUUGAGCUUCUUGGAUGAAAGGGUAAUGUUUGAAUGGCUGUUGGUUGAUUGAAGAAAGCCUACAGUAUUUUAUCUUGUCUGAUAAUGUAUUAGCAUUUAAGCUGAUGUAUUAGUAUUUAAGGUGUCUGCUGACUUUCCUCACCUCUCUGUUAAAAAAUGCUUUUGUGUGUGUAAAACUUGUUCUAAUUACUAAUGAAGGCUGAAUACUUUUCACCCAUGUUUGUUAACAAAUUGUAUCUUAUCUUCUGUGAACUGUUUGUCCAAGUCCAGUGGCUCAUGGCUCUUUCAGGCUCUUGGUUGAGGGUGUCCUUAGACUAGGCAAUGGCCUUUCACAGAUAUCUACAGAAUGAUGUGAGAGGCUCAGCUGACUUCUAGCUCGGCAUUAGAAUUUACUUACCCUGGGAAACAGGGAGGCUGAUAUCUUGCACCAGCAGGUAGAAAACACUUUUAGGCUUGUGUCUGGGUUCACCAUGCAUUUCUAGCUUGUGAGCCCUGACCUGUGCUCUGUACCUCUUGUGGUGUGGCAGUCCUCCACCUUGUCCUCCUGAGUGAUAGACUACAUAUAUGCCUCUCCCCUGUUCUGGGGUGUAGUCUCUGAGGCCAUGUCUUAGAGGAACUGGCUUCUUAGUGCUCUGUCUAGACAUCCCCUUAGCUCUAGUCUUCCCAUGCACCUCAGUGGCAGGUGUGGUCUUAAUUUAGGGAAUGAAUGAGAAAUUCAGUUCAGGACUGAUGUGACCCUCAGGUUAGUUCUAGGAGCAAGGCCAUUUUAUGGUCUCGGCUCUUCCCAACCUCCUCACAGGGCAGUUAUAGCCAUCUGGGUAGGGUGUGUGUUCCGGGAGAGCUCAUCCUGCCAUCCAGAACUCCCUCCCACACUCUAUUAUAGCACUUAGCGUGUCUGCCUGUGUUCAGCCCUCUCACCCCAUGCUUAUCUGGACAUUGAAGCUUGGAAAGCCAGUGGUGACUUCAACUGACUUUUAAUUCAUCCACCCAUCCAUCUGGCUAUCCAUCUAGCCAUCUGUCAGUCAAUCCAUCCAUCCAUCCAUCCAUCCAUUCAUCCAUCCAUCCAUGCAUACACACAUUGGGCCUCCAUCACUUGACCUGGUGCUUUGGGCCUCUCUCCCUCUCCUGAAAGCAAACCCCUUCACCUUGGGCAAGCUGUGUGAUACCAUGGGCUGUGGUCAUGAAGCAAGGCCCCCAUUCACAGCCUCCUCCUCCUCCUCCUAGGUCACGGCUCUGAGCACGUCCCAGCUGGACCCCUAUCACCACAGCUUUUUCUCCAUAAGGCUUCUCACACCUCACACCCUCCUCCUGUGAUCCAGGAGGGCCAGAUUCCCAGAGUGCCCUGGGGCUGGCCCUUCCCACCAUCCGCGGAGCUGCCUCCCCAGGCUUCACACUGCCUGGUGCAUGGUCCCUGUCAUGAGCUUGGCCUUCACCUUUGCAGCUUCCUCCACCAGAUGGCAGUGGUUGUGACUCGUGUGCCCAUUCCUUCGCACCUUCAUUCAUUCAUUCUCUUACAGCCAGCAAGCAUCUCUUUAAAAAAAAAAAAAUUAGCUAGUGCUAUACUAGAGCCGGCUCACAAGCACCCAUUGCACCACUGUCCUUUGAAAGAAAAGAUGGGGACAUUUGUAAAGAAGCUGUGUUUGUGUGGCCAAUAAGAGGAGCUCCUUGAUUUCAAUUCAAACUUCAGGUCUGAGUUCUAUUGCCAGCUUGAUUGCUCUCUCCAAUUUUGUUCCUCACAAAACUAGGUUGAUUAGUAAUCAGCAAACUGUGUUCCCUGGGUGCUCAGAAAUCAUAGCCCAGAUCCUUAAGAGGCCCAAAUGGGGAGUGGACUAAGCACGAAGCAGCUGCCUCUGGCUGCGAGCAGGCUUUCAAGGCUGUGAGACACUCUGUUCUUCUAUGAGGAUGAUCUGAGAGCCGUUCUGGCCACUUUGGAGCUCAGCUAAUGCUUGGCUCCUUUUUAGAGAAAAUUGCAGGAGAUGGAUGCUCGUACAAGUGACAAGGAUCAUGUCCCAAUGUCCUUUCUGAAUAAUCCAUUCGCAGACCCAGGCGAGCAAGGCACAUGGCACUUUGCAAACCCCUGUGUGUUUCAGGAGGACCCAUGCUAGGGGAGGCCUCCUUUCAGCUUUCUGCUGUGAAGGGGAAGAGACGCAGGGCUCUUCUGAGUUCUCCUCCCACUAGACGCAGUAGGGGCGGCAAGGCCAGAACCUGGAGCUGGACAAAUUGUGUGAUGGAUCUUGCCUCAGGGCUGUUGUGAGGAUUGGUAUAACUGGACACUUCUGACUGUGACCCUAAAAGGCAGUGUAUGUGUCCCUGGGGGUGUGCCAGAGCAUUGGAAACCCUAGCCCUGGAGUGGGGGUGGCCUUGCUUGGGUAUAAUGGGGAAUACUUUGUAUCUGUUAAAUUUGUAUAUUUUCCUAUAGAGACUUUAACACCACGGGAUAGGGGACUCUUUAGAUAGUACCUGUGCCCUCCGCCCCCCUCGGACACAUCCACACCUACCUCUAGGAGAGGUUGGGGUUGUCUUUAGCUCUCUGACUGAGGACCAAGCCUCUGACUCAGAACUGUAUAUGGCACCUAGUUACAUCCCUUUCCAAAAGGCUCUUCCCAGGGGAGCACUCGGCCCGAUCUGGCAGACCCCAUUGUCCCUUUCCCAAUGUCCUCUCUCCCACUAACAGCAUCAGGCCAAACUGCCUGAGAUCUGGUGCCUACCACAGUGCCUGGCCAGGGGUAGGGCUUCAGUGACCUUCUGUUGUAUUUGUGUAGGUAGAUGAGUAGCUAACAAUUGUAACAGGUCCUAGGGGCAGAUGUGUAUGGUCUCAUUCAGUGGUUUGUAAUGGAGAAUGUAUCUGAACCCAUAUCAAGCCAUCUCUCUUCCUUAACAUGUUAAGCAGCCACUGCUGUCCUGGGUUGUUUUGCACCUUGCCUUGUUGUCUUUCAUGCUAAGUAAAAAAAAGUCCUGCUUUCUGCUGAGAGUCUGUUUCUUCUGGAACUCACCUAGGUGUGAUCUGGCAGGGCUGCUAAGCUGUGUCUCUGCCCCUCUGACCCGUAGUCUUCUUCUCUCUCAGGUGUGCGUCACUGGCAAGCCUACCUCACAGGGUUGUUGUGAGGGCUAAGGGCUGAUCGGCUGUAACAGUGUGAUGUCCAUGCUGGCUGUCACCAGGGAUGGUGCCAUGAUGGGGUUGGCUUGAAAUCACAACCUAUACCGUUAUUAGUGGUCACUGAAUAAAGAGUCUCACUGUGGACACUGAGGUUGUAUAUCCAGCCGUCGAUGUGGUAUUCGAGGCUGGCUGUGUGGUCCUGGCUAAAAAAAAAAAAAAAAAA